Long non-coding RNA from Bolinopsis microptera, 354 nucleotides. RefSeq lists it as uncharacterized. The record is from RefSeq and is a predicted model, not a curated record. Lineage: Eukaryota; Metazoa; Ctenophora; Tentaculata; Lobata; Bolinopsidae. The transcript has 2 exons.
GACGAUGACAGUAGUGCACUCAGCAUGUCCAUCGCUGCAGUUCCUCUUCUCGUGGCUUUCCUUCGUUUAUAAGAAUGUCAACUCGAUCGAAAUCACGAAAAACAUGCCACUCUGACUUAGCAAAGAAUCUUAGAAGCCUUGGAGAUAUUUUUUCAAGAAAGAACUCCUUUAUAUUUUAAUGAUGCUUAUUGCAACAUCAUUUCGAAUGCCGUGAUUGAAAUAAGAAACUGAAUCAAACGAUGCACGCCUUCUCUAUAAUUUUAGAAUUUUGAAUCAUUGUCAGUUAUGUAAUAAACCGUUAGCAUAGAAUGUUUAUCUUAUAUUUUGUUUUUAAAGUUACAUUUUCUUGUAAAA